CCUACGGGAGGCAGCAGUGAGGAAUAUUGGUCAAUGGUCGGGAGACUGAACCAGCCAAGCCGCGUGAGGGAGGAAGGUACAGAGUAUCGUAAACCUCUUUUGUCAGGGAACAAAGGCGGGGACGUGUCCCCGGAUGAGUGUACCUGAAGAAAAAGCAUCGGCUAACUCCGUGCCAGCAGCCGCGGUAAUACGGAGGAUGCGAGCGUUAUCCGGUUUUAUUGGGUUUAAAGGGUGAGCAGGCGGUCUGUUAAGUCAGCGGUCAAAGCCCGGGGCUCAACCCCGGCCCGCCGUUGAAACUGGCAGUCGCGAGUUGGAGAGAAGUAUGCGGAAUGCGCGGUGUAGCGGUGAAAUGCAUAGAUAUCGCGCAGAACUCCGAUUGCGAAGGCAGCAUGCCGGCUCCACACUGACGCUGAGGCACGAAAGCGUGGGUAUCGAACAGGAUUAGAUACCCGGGUAGUC
This 459-nucleotide ribosomal RNA is filed under the name uncultured bacterium. RNAcentral's name for it is "partial 16S ribosomal RNA". It matches the Rfam family "Bacterial small subunit ribosomal RNA", at positions 338 to 795 of the family's 1533-position model. The record is from RNAcentral.